MicroRNA precursor from Oryza sativa Indica Group (long-grained rice), 206 nucleotides. It matches the Rfam family "MIR812 microRNA precursor family". NCBI's taxonomy places the organism in Eukaryota, Viridiplantae, Streptophyta, Magnoliopsida, Poales, Poaceae. The record is from Rfam.
CAUUAUAUUAAUCAUUCCUUUUCGUGUCCAACUUUGAUAGUCCGUCUUAUAUGAAGUUUUUUUAUAAUUCGUAUUUUCAUUGUUGUUAGAUGAUAAAACAUGAUUAAUAUUUUAUACGUGACUUGUUUUUUUAAUUUUUUUUAUAAUUUUUUUAAAUAAGACGGACAGUCAAACAUUAGGCACGAAAACUAGGGUUUGUGUUUUUU